UGCGCAGGUGGGGAUGUAAGUCAGUGGUGAAAUGUUGCCGCUCAACGGUAAAAUUGCCAUUGAUACUGCAUCUCUUGAGUAUGGUUGAGGUAGGCGGAAUGUGUUGUGUAGCGGUGAAAUGCAUAGAUAUGACACAGAACACCGAUUGCGAAGGCAGCUUACUAAGCCAUUACUGACGCUGAGGCACGAAAGCGUGGGGAGCAAACAGGAUUAGAUACCCUGGUAGUCC
This 229-nucleotide ribosomal RNA is filed under the name uncultured bacterium. RNAcentral's name for it is "partial 16S ribosomal RNA". It matches the Rfam family "Bacterial small subunit ribosomal RNA", at positions 568 to 796 of the family's 1533-position model. The record is from RNAcentral.